UAGCAGCUUGGCCCCGUUGGCCGUCUG
Molecule: small RNA, 27 nt
Filed under: Bombyx mori (domestic silkworm)
Lineage: Eukaryota; Metazoa; Arthropoda; Insecta; Lepidoptera; Bombycidae
Description: ovarian small RNA-22271
Source: RNAcentral